GGAGGUCGGCAACGAUCACCCAGAGCCGGAAAGUUGGUCAAACUUGGUCAUUUAGAGGAAGUAAAAGUCGUAACAAGGUUUGAAGUAAGAUCCUUCCGUGACGCUUAUGAGAAGCCUUUGUUGCCUCGCAAGAGGUUACCUGCCGCGACUAUAAACAAGAGAUAGUGGGUAUUAAAAGCAAGUCAGCUGCUGUUGCUGGCGACACUUUCGAAUUGCGGGAACACCCUAAAGCCAUUCUACACCAACCAGACGAGGAAACUCGGCUGGGGCUCAUGCUAACAACAUGAGGUACGGUCAGAGCGAGAAUGGAUGUCACAAUGGGCAAUCCGCAGCCAAGUCCCUACGGCACCACACUGCUACGGGAAAGGUUCACAGACUAAGUGGAAGUGGGUUGCUAACUGCAGCUUAAGAUAUAGUCGGGUUCCAUACGAAACUAUGGAAGAGUCACACACACUCGAAUGAAAACCGUUCCGUAGGUGAACCUGCGGAAGGAUCAUUACCAAACACAGCGUUUCCAACGCUUUCAACCCUUUGUGAACCAAAAAACCUUUUCGCUUCGGUAGCAGGUUUGGGAGCCAGGUUAACCAACCCAGCUUCCCAAGCUCCGUCAGCCUGCCGGCAGCACUUCAAACCAAACUUGUUGUCAAACAUAGUCUGAACAGAAUCAUUUUCGAAUGAAAAUUAAAACUUUCAACAACGGAUCUCUUGGUUCUCGCAUCGAUGAAGAACGCAGCGAAACGCGAUAGUUAAUGUGAAUUGCAGAAUUCAGUGAAUCAUCGAGUCUUUGAACGCACAUUGCGCCCAUAGGUAUUCCUUUGGGCAUGUCUGUUUGAGCGUCAUUACAACCCUCAGCGCAAGCUGGUUAUGAGUUGGCUGAAAAUCCGUUCCCUUGUGGAACAGGUGGAAGUCCGGCUUUAAAGUUGUAUGCUCUGCUGGCUUGCUCUGCCUGACCAAAAACAUAGUAAUAUCUACGACUGUUUACAAGGAAGGCUUUGCUUGACCCGGCCUGAAUAAAAACCCAACAUUUCUUAGGUUUGACCUCAGAUCAGACAAGGAUACCCGCUGAACUUAAGCAUAUCAAUAAGCGGAGGAAAAGAAACCAACAGGGAUUGCCUCAGUAACGGCGAGUGAAGCGGCAACAGCUCAAAUUUGAAAUCUGGAGCUUUCAGCUUCCGAGUUGUAAUUUGAAGAGGAUGUUUCGGUUGUGACCUGGGCCUAAGUUCCUUGGAACAGGACGUCGUAGAGGGUGAGAAUCCCGUACACGGCUGCCGGUCUACUUCCAUGUGAAACUCCUUCGAAGAGUCGAGUUGUUUGGGAAUGCAGCUCAAAAUGGGUGGUAAAUUUCAUCUAAAGCUAAAUAUUGGCGAGAGACCGAUAGCGCACAAGUAGAGUGAUCGAAAGAUGAAAAGCACUUUGAAAAGAGAGUUAAACAGUACGUGAAAUUGUUGAAAGGGAAGCGCUUGCAAUCAGACUUGCCUUCGGUUGAUCAACGUUCCUUUUGGUUCGUGCACUCUGCCGUUUGCAGGCCAGCAUCAGUUGGUGCGGUGGGACAAAGGUCGUAGGAAUGUGGCUCGCUUCGGUGAGUGUUAUAGCCUGCUUCGUAAUGCCACCAGCGCCGACUGAGGUCCGCGAUUCGUCUAGGAUGCUGGCUUAAUGGUUGUAAGCGACCCGUCUUGAAACACGGACCAAGGAGUCUAACAUCUAUGCGAGUCUUUGGGUGUCAAACCCAUGGGCGAAAUGAAAGUGAACGGAGGUGGGAGUCUUCGGAUGCACCAUCGACCGAUCCUGAUGUUCUCGGAUGGAUUUGAGUAGGAGCAUAGCUGUUGGGACCCGAAAGAUGGUGAACUAUGCCUGAAUAGGGUGAAGCCAGAGGAAACUCUGGUGGAGGCUCGCAGCGGUUCUGACGUGCAAAUCGAUCGUCAAAUUUGGGUAUAGGGGCGAAAGACUAAUCGAACCAUCUAGUAGCUGGUUCCUGCCGAAGUUCCCUCAGGA
This 1992-nucleotide ribosomal RNA is filed under the name Orbilia desertorum. RNAcentral describes it as "eukaryotic LSU rRNA". The stretch from base 1036 to 1992 matches the Rfam family "Eukaryotic large subunit ribosomal RNA", at positions 1 to 978 of the family's 3401-position model. The record is from RNAcentral. Lineage: Eukaryota; Fungi; Ascomycota; Orbiliomycetes; Orbiliales; Orbiliaceae.